AGAGUUUGAUCAUGGCUCAGAACGAACGCUGGCGGCAGGCCUAACACAUGCAAGUCGAACGUGAAGCCACCUUCGGGUGGUGGAAAGUGGCAGACGGGUGAGUAACGCGUGGGAACGUGCCUUUCGGUUCGGAAUAACCCAGGGAAACUUGGGCUAAUACCGGAUACGCCCUUCGGGGGAAAGAUUCAUCGCCGAAAGAUCGGCCCGCGUCGGAUUAGCUAGUUGGUAGGGUAAUGGCCUACCAAGGCGACGAUCCGUAGCUGGUCUGAGAGGAUGACCAGCCACACUGGGACUGAGACACGGCCCAGACUCCUACGGGAGGCAGCAGUGGGGAAUAUUGGACAAUGGGCGAAAGCCUGAUCCAGCCAUGCCGCGUGGGUGAAGAAGGCCCUAGGGUUGUAAACCCCUUUCAGCGGGGAAGAUAAUGACGGUACCCGCAGAAGAAGCCCCGGCUAACUCCGUGCCAGCAGCCGCGGUAAUACGGAGGGGGCUAGCGUUGUUCGGAAUUACUGGGCGUAAAGCGCGCGUAGGCGGAUCUGCAAGUCGGGGGUGAAAUCCCGAGGCUCAACCUCGGAACUGCCUUCGAUACUGCGGGUCUCGAGUCCGGGAGAGGUGAGUGGAAUUCCUAGUGUAGAGGUGAAAUUCGUAGAUAUUAGGAAGAACACCAGUGGCGAAGGCGGCUCACUGGCCCGGUACUGACGCUGAGGCGCGAAAGCGUGGGGAGCAAACAGGAUUAGAUACCCUAGUAGUCC
RNAcentral lists this ribosomal RNA (752 nucleotides) under uncultured bacterium. RNAcentral describes it as "bacterial SSU rRNA". It matches the Rfam family "Bacterial small subunit ribosomal RNA", at positions 8 to 796 of the family's 1533-position model. The record is from RNAcentral.